UACGUAGGGAGCAAGCGUUGUCCGGAAUCAUUGGGCGUAAAGCGCGCGUAGGUGGCCACAUAAGUCCGUUGUGAAAGUCAAAGGCUCAACCUUUGAAAGCCGAUGGAUACUGUGUGGCUAGAGUACGGAAGAGGCGAGUGGAAUUCCUGGUGUAGCGGUGGAAUGCGCAGAUAUCAGGAGGAACACCAAUAGCGAAGGCAGCUCGCUGGGACGUUACUGACACUGAGACGCGAAAGCGUGGGGAGCGAACCGG
Molecule: ribosomal RNA, 253 nt
Filed under: uncultured bacterium
Lineage: Bacteria
Description: partial 16S ribosomal RNA
Rfam family: Bacterial small subunit ribosomal RNA
Source: RNAcentral